UCCUGGCUCACGGACGAACGCUGGCGGCGUGCCUAAGCUUAUGCAAGUCGAACGCGAACGGCUCCUUCGGGAGCCUAGUAGAGUGGCAAACGGGCGAGUAACGCGUGGGUAACGUACCCUGAUCCUGGGAAUAACCCUCGGAAACGAGGGCUAAUACCGAAUGUGGCGAACGACCGGUUGGUCGCUCGCUAAAGGUGGCCUCUUCUAUGCUGCCGGGUUGGGAUCGGCCCGCGUCCCAUUAGCUAGUUGGUGAGGUAACGGCUCACCAAGGCCACGAUGGGUAGCCGGCCUGAGAGGGUGUACGGCCACACUGGCACUGAGACAAGGGCCAGUCCCCUAUGGGAGGCGCAGGCGGGAAUAGUUCACAAUGGGCGAAAGCCUGAUGACGCGACGCCGCGUGAGCGAAGAAGACCUUCGGGUUGUAAAGCUCUGUCAGGAGGGAAGAAGGCUCUACGGGUUAAUAGCCCGUGGAAUUGACGGUACCUCCAGAGGAAGCCCCGGCUAAAUACGUGCCAGCAGCCGCGGUAAUACGUAUGGGGCAAGCGUUGUCCGGAUUUACUGGGCGUAAAGGGCGCGUAGGCGGUUUGUUAAGUCGAAGGUGAAAUCCUCGGGCUCAACUCGAGAAUUGCCUUCGAUACUGGCAAACUAGAGUGGCGGAGAGGAAAGCGGAACUCUUGGUGUAACGGUGGAGUGUGUAGAUAUCAAGAGGAACACCGGUGGCGAAGGCGGCUUUCUGGACGCACACUGACGCUCAGGCGCGAAAGCGUGGGUAGCAAACAGGAUUAGAUACCCUGGUAGUCCACGCCAUAAACGAUGGGUACUAGGUGUCGGGGGUAUCGACCCCUCCGGUGCCGCAGUUAACGCACUAAGUACCCCGNCUGGGGAUUAUGGUCGCAAGGCUGAAACUCAAAGGAAUUGACGGUGCCCCGCACAAGCGGUGGAGCAUGUGUUUAAUUCGACGCAACGCGAAGAACCUUACCUGGG
Molecule: ribosomal RNA, 984 nt
Filed under: uncultured organism
Description: bacterial SSU rRNA
Rfam family: Bacterial small subunit ribosomal RNA
Source: RNAcentral